Molecule: ribosomal RNA, 243 nt
Filed under: uncultured bacterium
Lineage: Bacteria
Description: partial 16S ribosomal RNA
Rfam family: Bacterial small subunit ribosomal RNA
Source: RNAcentral
UACGUAGGGUGCGAGCGUUAAUCGGAAUUACUGGGCGUAAAGCGUGCGCAGGCUGUUUUGUAAGUCAGAUGUGAAAUCCCUGGGCUCAACCUAGGAACUGCGUUUGAAACUACAAGGCUAGAGUGUAGCAGAGGGGGGUAGAAUUCCACGUGUAGCAGUGAAAUGCGUAGAGAUGUGGAGGAAUACCAAUGGCGAAGGCAGCCCCCCUGGGUUAACACUGACGCUCAUGCACGAAAGCGUGGG